This 1132-nucleotide small RNA is filed under the name Arabidopsis thaliana (thale cress). RNAcentral describes it as "ATSL018000". Lineage: Eukaryota; Viridiplantae; Streptophyta; Magnoliopsida; Brassicales; Brassicaceae. The record is from RNAcentral.
AAAAAUUAUCAUUAAACAAGCUUCUGAUCAACAAAAUAAUAUCCCAAAAAGGUGGAUUAAAUUUUUGUUUUCUUCAUAGACAUAAGGAAAUUAACUUUACAGUCUGACCAUUGAUUAACUUUCAGCAAUGUGCACAACUGCCAUUUUGAUAACACCAUAGUUUAAGAUGCCAAAAAAACAAAGGAAGAUGGAGCGAGAAAGAUGAAUUACGCUAUAGGAAUUGAUUUUCCUCUUAAGUGCUCAAGUCUCACUUUAAAUUCAACUAUCACGGAUGAGCCAAAUGCCCAGCCCUAAACAAAAAGAUUAACUUAGUAAUUGAUACCUUGUAGAAAGACAAACCGUGAGAUCAGUGAAAGUGGUAAGUUGCCUGGAUAUCACGAAAGUGUCAAGACUCUUCUCUUCACCAUCUUUAAUCAUAUCUUCCAUCAUAUGAAUCUUCAGCAUCUUGAAUUGACGAUCGAAGACAGGCUUGUAGAGAUGACUCAAACGUGUACCACAAUGGCCUCAUAAUAUAGAUGCAAGAUUAUUAUGAUUGAAUGACGAUUCUUCGGAUGCAUAUGUAGGAAUAAACACUGCGUCAUACGAGUUCUCAUAACCAUCAAUUCACUUUCGAAUAGAAAUGGUAAAUUUUCAUUACAAACUGAUCCAAGCACUUCAAGACCUAAUGAGAACAAAGUAAAUCAACACAAAGACAGUGUCCGGACUUUUGAUAGGAUUUAUUUUUUAAAAGGUAUUUCGCAUAUAAACUUCUUAACAUAGAUCUCUACAUAUAUAGACAAAAUGAAAUAAAUACAAAGAUGUGCUUCAUAAGUUCUCAACAAAGCCCAAGUAAUCUCCACAAUAAGGCUUAUUUAUAAGUCCUCUAAUCUGAGUGACUUCAAUGAUUCUUCCAGCCCAAAACAAGGCUUCUCUCCUCCAGAAAAAUAAUUAGGAUUAUUAUAUUAUUAUUUGUUUUGUUUCCUCGAAUAAAAAAGAGAAUCCGAGAACUUUUUAAGACAAAAGCCAAAUCUUCGAAACCUUAUGAGAUGUGAUAGGGUUACAAGGGUAAAACAGGAACUCAGAAUAAAAAUAAGUUAAUCGAGAAAGCUCCAAAUAAACACCACUCGUCCGCCUCUCUGUCUCUCACCAAAAU